Molecule: long non-coding RNA, 843 nt
Organism: Helianthus annuus (common sunflower)
Lineage: Eukaryota; Viridiplantae; Streptophyta; Magnoliopsida; Asterales; Asteraceae
Exons: 3
Source: RefSeq, a predicted model, not a curated record
UAGGCUUUUUGAUAGAAGCUUUCGGUUCAAUGAUAUCUCCCGAUGACAUGGCGUCCGCGUACUGCCAAGCGGGAUGAUCUAAAUAAAGCAAGUGAUAUGUCGCUAAGGCACCGACUGAAACUAUGAACAGUGAUAUCGAGAUGUUCUUGCUUCAGAUGCUUGGAGAUGGUUUUCAGUUAGAUAUCAAAGUAAUCAGAGAAGUUCUUGGUAAGAAUUUUAUUGUUUUCAUAUCCCCAAAUUAUUAGUAAUUGGGCUUAAUCUUUUGACCUUUGCAAUAAAUCCUUGUGGGCUCAUAAUGGGCUGCUUCAGAUGAAUAAAAAAGAAACUCAAGGCAGUUCCAGCUUUGCAGGGGAUCGCAUAACAAGUUAUCAGAAUAGCAUUCAAUAAUAGAAUUUUACACAUAAUUAAUUGUCUUUAUCUAUUAUUGUUUAUUGUUUGAACUUUGUUAGUGUGUGAAUUUGUGUUUUUAUAGUAGGGUUAAUAGUCUCAUGGACAUAUCCACAUUUUCUCUGUCGGAGACGAAGAGAGAAUAAAAUUGGUAGGCCCCGGCAAGUUGAAGUUUGGUUCCAAAACAGAAGAGCCAGAUGAGCAAACGCGGAGAAUGUUGAAGUUGGGGUGCUGGAAACCGAUGGAAUGGAAAGCGAUUAUUGAUAGGGUUAUGGCUGGAUCCUUUGGUCCGUCUAGAAAACUUUUGAAGAAAAGGAGUAAAAAUGGAGGAAUAUGAAUAACCGCAAGGAAUGUGGAGCUCUAUUUAGAAAUCCUACACAGCAGAAGCAAUAUAUGUAAGGCUAAUGUAUUUUUUUUUUUUUUUGUAAUAUGUUUUUUUUGUUUAUUUUAUUUUGA